UCAUACUGAAGGUCUCUCAAUAGAUCCUUCUGACCCUUCACUAUGUACUCGGAAGGGACCUGGGGAGAUUCCUUUGCCCUAAUGA
Bufo gargarizans (Asiatic toad) is the source of this 85-nucleotide small nucleolar RNA. Lineage: Eukaryota; Metazoa; Chordata; Amphibia; Anura; Bufonidae. The record is from RefSeq and is a predicted model, not a curated record.